UCUUCCUCCAUCCUCCUCCCAUCUGCCUCUGCUACCGAGCUCCUUCUAGCGUCCUGAAUCUCCUUUUAGUGCCAUAAAAAUCUUUCUAGUGCUCUAAAUCUCUGCUACCGCCCCACACCUCCUCCAUCUGGUCUUCUUCGUCCGUCGGCUUCUCGUCCUCCUUCUUCUUCUUCCCCCGAGCGUGGUGGAGCACCUUCGCCGUCGAUUGAGUGUGAUUUUUUUUUCUUUGUUCAUCUUCUUCUCCCAAGCGUAUUACAUUUCUAUUUUUUCAUGAUAUUUUUUUUUAAAUUUAUGAUCGUUUAUGAAGGAUCAGCGAAGGGUAAACUCUGUUGGUGGAGAUUGCAAGGUUUUGAAGAUCGGAAGAGUUUUUUUCCCUUGUCAAG
Molecule: long non-coding RNA, 383 nt
Filed under: Elaeis guineensis (African oil palm)
Lineage: Eukaryota; Viridiplantae; Streptophyta; Magnoliopsida; Arecales; Arecaceae
Description: long non-coding RNA (EGUI_LNC002128)
Source: RNAcentral